UACGGAGGGGGCUAGCGUUGUUCGGAAUUACUGGGCGUAAAGGGCGCGUAGGCGGCGCGAUAAGUUGGGCGUGAAAGGCCCGGGCUCAACCCGGGGACUGCGCUUGAUACUGUCGCGCUGUGAGUCCGGGAGAGGAUGGCGGAAUUCCCAGUGUAGAGGUGAAAUUCGUAGAUAUUGGGAAGAACACCGGUGGCGAAGGCGGCCAUCUGGACCGGCACUGACGCUGAGGCACGAAAGCGUGGGGAGCAAACAGG
This 254-nucleotide ribosomal RNA is filed under the name uncultured bacterium. RNAcentral's name for it is "partial 16S ribosomal RNA". It matches the Rfam family "Bacterial small subunit ribosomal RNA", at positions 524 to 776 of the family's 1533-position model. The record is from RNAcentral.